CGCAGAGGGUCCCGGUUGGGGCACGUGACUUUCAGGCCCCGCCCCGCUGGUUCCCGCCCAGCCAAGCAGUUCGGAAUCUCUAACAAGAAUCACCAGGAGGUUUUGAAAACUCUAACGGCGAGACCUUCCCCUCCCACACCAGUUGAACCAGAAUGCGUUAAGAUGGGCCCUUGUGCAAUUGCAGCGCGAGCAGGGGAGGAGCAGAGAAAGAGGGAAACAGAAUCCAAAGCUGGCUCCGAGCUGUCAGCACAGAGCCCAACACAGGGCUUGAACCCACAGACCGUGAGAUCAUGACCUGAGACAAAGUCGGUCGCGCAACCGUCUGAGCCACCCAGGCGCCACUAGAGUGACCACCUUUUUAGAGAGCCAACCCUGGACACAGUCCUACCAGACGAAUAACAUACUCCCUGAGUCAAUCAUGGUCCAGAAGCAGACGAUCCUUCUGACAUAGCCUGAGAAGGUGGAUAGUAGCCUAACGCUACCUCACAAUGCCUACAUCAUACCCCUCACUUUAUCUCAUCAUAGAAGCAUUUUAUCAUCUCACAUCAUCACAAGAAGAAGGGGAGAGCACAAGUUGGGGAAGAGGAGCAGAGAGAGAGAGAGAAUCUC
Molecule: long non-coding RNA, 609 nt
Organism: Prionailurus viverrinus (fishing cat)
Lineage: Eukaryota; Metazoa; Chordata; Mammalia; Carnivora; Felidae
Exons: 4
Source: RefSeq, a predicted model, not a curated record